CGACAGCCUAUCUGAGCGUGGGCUCCAGGCGGUGGGUGCACCGAGGCACGAUGCCUCUCCUUUCUGAACUCACCUUGCCCAUCUGUGGAAUGGGGCAGUAACAGUUCCCACUGCACAGGGUGGCAGCGAGGAGUACUCGGAAGGGGGCAGCGAAGCCUUAGCACGAGACGCACCCGAGGGAUGAGCCAGCACUUCCUUCCAGAGACUACACAGUGUUCCAGAGAGCUGAGCACAGGAGCCUGGCUUUGUACACAGAAAAUGACUGAAGAAAGCAAAAUCGAAAAGUAGAUUGGUCACUUCCAUUUCUUUCCUUGUGGGGUCGGGACAGAAUAAUAGAAAAAUAACUGAUUGGUUAACAUCAAGUUACUUCAGGUAAUUUUUCCGGGUAAAUUUAAGAUUAGAGGAAACAUCAGUAUCAUGACAAUUAAAACUGAUCUGUCUGGGAAAUUCAGUUGUUCUCCAUAUAAUCCUGAUUUCUAUGACAGCCACACACACAGUUUUUAGAUUCCGCUUGGUGAAACAGCUUAGUUUAGCAUGAAUGAUUCCAUUUUGAUUUUUAGUGUGGUAUCUUGGGGCCCAGUCUAAAGUAAUGAUCUCCUGUAAUUUUUAUUUAGCAACAUCCAGACAUGGAGUUUUUGGAUCAUAGAGUGUACAUAAAGUGCACACACCUGUAAUCCCAGCAUUCAGGAGGCAGAGGCAGGAGGAUCACUGUGAGUUCGAGGCCAGCCUGGGCUACAUAGUGAGAUCUUGUCUCAAAAUACCAAAAUAAAAAGUUUUAGUUAGGUAUUUUCCCACCAGCUGUGAGAGCUGCCCUUACUCCAUAUCCUUCCAAAAAUUUGGGUUAGAUUUUUAAAAUUUUGUCAGUUGAAUGAGUGGAAGUGGUAUAAAUAUAUUUUAACUCUUCAUAAUGAAAAAUUCCAAGUAUUUAUACAGUAGUGAGACUAAUAUAAUGAAUUUCUAUGUCUCUGUCAUCUAAUUCAAUAAUUAUCAAUGCUUAUUGAUUUUGUUCCUCUAUAAUCUUACCAUUAUUUUGAACCAAAUCCCAGACAUCAUACUGUUUCCAUCUGUAAACAUUUCAGUAUAUUUGAUCCCUGGUACCAAAAAAAACAAACAAACAAUAAAACAUUUCAGUAUAUAUUUCUAAAAGAUAAGAAUCCUCUCUUGCCUUUUUUUGUUUUUGUGAUCUUGGGGAUCAAACCCAGGGCUUUAAACAUGUUGAACACGUGUGCUUACCACUGAACUACACCUCCAGCCCAAUUCUCCUUUUUAAGCCUAACUACAAUACAUCAUCAAAGACUCUCGAAUGUCAGGAGUGAUUUUUAAAUAUUAUCAAAUAUUCAAAUAGUGUUCACAUUUUCUCAAUUACCCUAAUUCAUUAUUUUUAUACUUGAUUGAAUUAUAAUUGUGAUUGGUUAAUAUUUAUCUUAAAUUUCUUUUAACCCAUAAAUACCCCUUCCAUUUCUCCCCCUUUCUUCCCAUAUCUUAAAAUUUAUUGGUUAAGUAAAUCAGGUUAUUUUCCUGGCAUCAUUUCCUCAGUUUGGAUUUUACUUGUUAUUGUCCCCAUGGUGUCAUUUUGAACUUUCCUCAGUUCCUGUAAAUUUGUAGUCAGAUCAAGAAUAGGGGCUUGGCAAAUUAUGCAGCAUAGCUUCACUAUUUUUUGUGUUGUUUUGUUUGUUUUGAAAUGGGAUUUUACUAGAACACAGUCAUGCCCAUUUGUUUAGCUUUUGUCUAGG
This is a long non-coding RNA of Heterocephalus glaber (naked mole-rat), 1733 nucleotides long. The record is from Ensembl. NCBI's taxonomy places the organism in Eukaryota, Metazoa, Chordata, Mammalia, Rodentia, Bathyergidae.